Molecule: transfer RNA, 85 nt
Organism: Dermacoccus nishinomiyaensis
Lineage: Bacteria; Bacillati; Actinomycetota; Actinomycetes; Micrococcales; Dermacoccaceae
Rfam family: tRNA
About the family: Transfer RNA (tRNA) molecules are approximately 80 nucleotides in length. Their secondary structure includes four short double-helical elements and three loops (D, anti-codon, and T loops).
Source: Rfam
GGAGGGCUCGCAUAGUGGCCGAGUGCACCGGUCUUGAAAACCGGAGUUGGGAAACCAACCGUGGGUUCAAAUCCCACGCCCUCCG